Molecule: ribosomal RNA, 439 nt
Filed under: uncultured bacterium
Lineage: Bacteria
Description: bacterial SSU rRNA
Rfam family: Bacterial small subunit ribosomal RNA
Source: RNAcentral
GACGAACGCUGGCGGCGUGCUUAACACAUGCAAGUCGAACGGUGACCCAGGGCUUGCCCUGGUGAUCAGUGGCGAACGGGUGAGUAACACGUGGGCAACCUGCCCCUGACUUCGGGAUAACUCCUCGAAAGAGGAGCUAAUACCGGAUACGACCACUUCGGACAUCCGAUGGUGGUGGAAAGUUUUUCGGUCAGGGAUGGGCCGCGGCCUAUCAGCUAGUUGGUGGGGUAAUGGCCUACCAAGGCGACGACGGGUAGCCGGCCUGAGAGGGCGACCGGCCACACUGGGACUGAGACACGGCCCAGACUCCUACGGGAGGCAGCAGUGGGGAAUAUUGCGCAAUGGGCGAAAGCCUGACGCAGCGACGCCGCGUGAGGGAUGAAGGCUCGGUUGUAACGUACUUCUAGCAGGACGAAGCGAAAGUAGACGGUACCGUACG